This 301-nucleotide ribosomal RNA is filed under the name uncultured bacterium. RNAcentral describes it as "partial 16S ribosomal RNA". It matches the Rfam family "Bacterial small subunit ribosomal RNA", at positions 509 to 809 of the family's 1533-position model. The record is from RNAcentral.
CAGUAGCCGCGGGAAUACGGAGGGUGCAAGCGUUAAUCGGAAUUACUGGGCGUAAAGCGUGCGCAGGCGGUUAUAUAAGUCAGAUGUGAAAUCCCCGGGCUCAACCUGGGAACUGCAUCUGAGACUGUAUGGCUAGAGUGUGUCAGAGGGGGGUAGAAUUCCACGUGUAGCGGUGAAAUGCGUAGAUAUGUGGAGGAAUACCGAUGGCGAAGGCAGCCACCUGGGAUAACACUGACGCUCAUGCACGAAAGCGUGGGGAGCAAACAGGAUUAGAUACCCGCGUAGUCCCUGUCUCUUAUAA